AGCUAAUACCGGAUGUGCCCUUCGGGGGAAAGAUUUAUCGCCAUUGGAGCGGCCCGCGUCUGAUUAGCUAGUUGGUAGGGUAAAGGCCUACCAAGGCUACGAUCAGUAGCUGGUCUGAGAGGAUGAUCAGCCACACUGGGACUGAGACACGGCCCAGACUCCUACGGGAGGCAGCAGUUAGGAAUCUUGCGCAAUGGGCGAAAGCCUGACGCAGCCAUGCCGCGUGAAUGAUGAAGGUCUUAGGAUUGUAAAAUUCUUUCAGCGGGGACGAUAAUGACGGUACCCGCAGAAGAAGCUCCGGCUAACUUCGUGCCAGCAGCCGCGGUAAUACGAAGGGGGCUAGCGUUGCUCGGAAUUACUGGGCGUAAAGGGCGCGUAGGCGGACAGUUUAGUCAGAGGUGAAAGCCCAGGGCUCAACCUUGGAACUGCCUUUGAUACUGGCUGUCUUGAGUUCGGGAGAGGUGUGUGGAACUCCGAGUGUAGAGGUGAAAUUCGUAGAUAUUCGGAAGAACACCAGUGGCGAAGGCGACAC
RNAcentral lists this ribosomal RNA (532 nucleotides) under Phenylobacterium koreense. RNAcentral describes it as "bacterial SSU rRNA". It matches the Rfam family "Bacterial small subunit ribosomal RNA", at positions 161 to 727 of the family's 1533-position model. The record is from RNAcentral. Lineage: Bacteria; Pseudomonadati; Pseudomonadota; Alphaproteobacteria; Caulobacterales; Caulobacteraceae.